AGAGUUUGAUCCUGGCUCAGGAUGAACGCUAGCUACAGGCUUAACACAUGCAAGUCGAGGGGAAACGACAUCGAAAGCUUGCUUUUGAUGGGCGUCGACCGGCGCACGGGUGAGUAACGCGUAUCCAACCUGCCCACCACUUGGGGAUAACCUUGCGAAAGUAAGACUAAUACCCAAUGACGUCUCUAGAAGACAUCUGAAAGAGAUUAAAGAUUUAUCGGUGAUGGAUGGGGAUGCGUCUGAUUAGCUUGUUGGCGGGGUAACGGCCCACAAGGCGACGAUCAGUAGGGGUUCUGGAGAGGAAGGUCCCCCANAUUGGAACUGAGACACGGUCCAAACUCCGUACGGGAGGCA
Molecule: ribosomal RNA, 354 nt
Filed under: uncultured bacterium
Lineage: Bacteria
Description: bacterial SSU rRNA
Rfam family: Bacterial small subunit ribosomal RNA
Source: RNAcentral